AGUGAACGCUGGCGGCAGGCCUAACACAUGCAAGUCGAACGACAGCACAGUAAGAGCUUGCUCUUGCGGGUGGCGAGUGGCGGACGGGUGAGGGAUACAUCGGCAUCUACUUUUUCGUGGGGGAUAACGUAGGGAAACUUACGCUAAUACCGCAUACAACCUACGGGUGAAAGCAGGGGAUCUUCGGACCUUGCGCGACUGCAUGAGCCGAUGUCGGAUUAGCUAGUUGGCGGGGUAAAGGCCCACCAAGGCGACGAUCCGUAGCUGGUCUGAGAGGAUGAUCAGCCACACUGGAACUGAGACACGGUCCAGACUCCUACGGGGGGCAGCAGUGGGGAAUAUUGCGCAAUGGGCGAAAGCCUGAUCCAGCAAUACCGCGUGAGUGAAGAAGGCCUUCGGCUUGUAAAGCCCUGUUGUUGGGAAAGAAAAGAAGCAGGAUAAUCCCCGGAUGUUCUGACGGUACCUAAAGAAUAAGCCCCGGCUAACUUCGUG
Molecule: ribosomal RNA, 492 nt
Filed under: uncultured bacterium
Lineage: Bacteria
Description: partial 16S ribosomal RNA
Rfam family: Bacterial small subunit ribosomal RNA
Source: RNAcentral